GUCUCCAUAGCUAAGUCGGUAGAACUCCCGACUAUGGUGCGUAGAACUCGGGUUCGAGCCCCGCUGAAGGCA
Non-coding RNA from Henosepilachna vigintioctopunctata, 72 nucleotides. Lineage: Eukaryota; Metazoa; Arthropoda; Insecta; Coleoptera; Coccinellidae. The record is from the annotation of a GenBank genome assembly.